UGAGAGGAAGAAGAAGAUGAGUCCAGCUCUGGCAAUAGCUGUAAACGAUAAAGCCUAAAUUCUGCUCUUUUCAUUGCACUGUAUAUGGAAAAUGCUAGGAUCUGAACCCCCUUGAGGUCAUAAGUUAUAUGCACCCAACCCUUACCACAAUCAAAUUAUGAGUACAAGGGAACUUUAUUUAUAUGGAUCAAGGACAUAUAAAAGGC
Molecule: unclassified non-coding RNA, 206 nt
Filed under: Hevea brasiliensis (rubber tree)
Lineage: Eukaryota; Viridiplantae; Streptophyta; Magnoliopsida; Malpighiales; Euphorbiaceae
Source: RNAcentral